GGAUUAAGCAGGAGGUUGCAGCCUGAGAAGAGGACAAGCACUGGCUAUAGCCAUAGGGUGCAGCAUAAACUAUGCAAUCAGCUGAGGUGAGAGGAGUCCUAGGGAAACAGACAUCAUACAUGGUCUCGUCUGGCAGGAGGGACCCGAAUUCCGACUCAGAUGGAACGCAAGCUCAUGGUUGCCUUGGUUACUAGGAUUGCGCUGCCUGGAAGUUCAACGGCGGGGAACUUAUGGUGGGCUGAGCAUGGCAGAAAGGGAUAUCCUUUAGGAUGGACGACAACUCUAAAGAAUUCAUACAAAUUUUUAUUGUGAAGACUGCGCUUAUUUUGGACUACUCAUAUUUUGAUUAUGUUAUUUGGAGUUGUGGUGCACUCGUAUGUACUAAGCUGCGGUGUUGGGGCGCAGGUUGUUUAAACCAUUUAUUGUAUUUUUAUCAGUUUUAGACACACAGGCUGAUCA
This is a long non-coding RNA of Pseudophryne corroboree (corroboree frog), 459 nucleotides long. RefSeq lists it as uncharacterized. The transcript is spliced from 3 exons. The record is from RefSeq and is a predicted model, not a curated record. Lineage: Eukaryota; Metazoa; Chordata; Amphibia; Anura; Myobatrachidae.